CUCCGCUGGCCCGCGUGAAACCCUCUCCGCUGCCUCGACUGACUGUCGUUUCCGUGUCUUGAUUGUGGCCUCUGCCUCUCCCCCUUCCGAUUUCGUUCGACUUCUUUCUACGGUUACUAAGCGCCCACUGUGUGCCCUGGAAGGGACUAGACUCAGCAGGAAAAACAUCCAGGCAAGUGGAAAGCAUUUGCAUCAGCCCAGCAAUAAGAAGGACCAUAUUCUACUUGGGAAAAGCCUGCCAGGAAACCUGUCAUUCAACCCUUUGCAAUAAAACAGCUCCUCAUGAAUGAAGCAAAAUAAAUCAGAAGUCGUGGGCUUUUAAAUUCACUAAAUGAAAGCCCAGCAUGCAUGCAGCCUCCCUCCAAAUUAAUCACCAGAUUAAAUGCAAGAUGUGCACACCAAAUCAAUAGCUUGUGACAGAGACCUCCUGCCUGUGCUUCAGGAAAAUUCCAUUUCCUUUCAGAUGUUGUAGCUUGAAAUGUCAGGAAGUUUCCAUUCAUCACCCGCCCUUGAAAAUGCCACCAUCACCAUGCUUCAUGUUUCCUUGCUUUCUUUCUUCAGAGGAAUCCAAGCACCUUGCAGAGGGAGCCCACUCAUUGUCACAG
Molecule: long non-coding RNA, 605 nt
Filed under: Pongo abelii (Sumatran orangutan)
Lineage: Eukaryota; Metazoa; Chordata; Mammalia; Primates; Hominidae
Description: lincRNA
Source: RNAcentral